RNAcentral lists this transfer RNA (63 nucleotides) under Aquatica lateralis (Japanese firefly). RNAcentral's name for it is "tRNA-Glu". Lineage: Eukaryota; Metazoa; Arthropoda; Insecta; Coleoptera; Lampyridae. The record is from RNAcentral.
AUUUAUAUAGUUUAUGCAAAACAUUAUAUUUUCAUUAUAAAGUUAAACCUAGUUUUAUAAAUA